RNAcentral lists this ribosomal RNA (594 nucleotides) under uncultured marine eukaryote. RNAcentral describes it as "bacterial SSU rRNA". It matches the Rfam family "Eukaryotic small subunit ribosomal RNA", at positions 613 to 1053 of the family's 1831-position model. The record is from RNAcentral.
CUGCUGUUAAAAAGCUCGUAGUUGGAUCAGGAGCAGGACAGUGCACGGUGGCCCUACUUGCAAUACUGGGUCCGAUCACUGUUGCGGUAGCGGAUCAACCCCGUGCGCCAAACUGUCCACUCUAACUGACCGAAACGGUUCCCUGUUAGUAGGUUCCUUCAUUGGGACUGAAAGCGCUUCCGCAUGAACCAUAUGCAUACGGGACGUCGGUCAAUGUUACUGUGAACAAACCAGCGUGUCCAAAACAGGCGUUCGCCUGAAUGUUCGAGCAUGGAAUAACAAGGGAUCGAUUCUCUCGAUUCUUUUUGUUGGUUUUAACACCGAGAAGGAGUAAAUCAGGUCACGGUGUCUGAGUUGGGUUUCCCUUCAUCUCGGUGGAGGCCCCAAUUAGGCCGUGUCCUUACGGGAUAAAUAGGGACUGACGGGGUCGUACGUACUUCUACGUCAGAGGUGAAAUUCUUAGAUCGUGGAAAGACGAACUUCUGCGAAAGCAUUCGACAAGAAUGUCUUCAUUAAUCAAGAACGAGAGUGUGGGGAUCGAAGAUGAUCAGAUACCGUCGUAGUCCACUACUGUAAACGAUGCCGUCUCAGGAU